This 3693-nucleotide long non-coding RNA is filed under the name Anolis carolinensis (green anole). Its description in RNAcentral is "lncRNA (ENSACAG00000041061.1)". The record is from RNAcentral. Lineage: Eukaryota; Metazoa; Chordata; Lepidosauria; Squamata; Anolidae.
AUUCCAAUAAUAAUAAUAAUAAUAAUAAUAAUAAUAAUAAUAAUAAUAAUAAGGUGGCAGGUGCCACCUUGACGUGGUGGGGGGGCUUACCUGCUCCAAUGAUGACUGAGGGCUGUGCUGGCGGUAGUGUAACUACCGGCAGGUCCAACCAAGCCAGAGAGGCCUCAGCUGAGGAGCAGAACUAAGAGCACCUAACCCAUUAGCAUUAUGGAGAAAAAACCCAAACGAAGUCUAUACUGGCUCGGUCGUCGCCCAGGAUAAAAAGGAUGCUGCUGAUUCUGGACAUCCAUCGACAAGUGGGCUAUGGAAUCAUCAAAACCCAAAUGAACAGUCACAGAAGCGGCAGAAAUACACAAUGCCAGAAAACCGCACAAUUAUGAAAUGCUAUUACAAAUCUGAACUUCAAAGGCGUGGCUACCAAAAAAGGAUGCAUCAACUGUGGAAACAAGAGUAUCCUGACUCACAGAUAACAGAACCCCGACUGGCUGACCAACGAAGAUUCAUAAUCAGAAACAAAGUGUUCAGUGAAGUUGAACUUGAAGAAAUCCAGAAAAUUUGCAAAGUAAAUCACCAUCAGACCACAGCACAGACAGCAGCAGAGACUCCAGCAACACUUGGAAUGGUGGAACAGAUUGAACCAGAAGAAAGAGUGGAGCUUUUGCAAGAAUUUGAAGAACCAGCACUUGAAACACCCGUUGAACCACCAGGAACCUUGACAGCAAGACAACAAGAGCUCAAGGAUAAGAUCGUGGCUCAUGCUGCAGCAAAUGCAAUAAGAAAGCUGCUCCCCACUCUAAAAACAGUGCCCAAGAGACAACUGGCGCCUCUCAUGAAAGAUGUGAAUGCAGCACUCUCCACUGUCCAAAUAACAUCAAUUGAACAAACAAACCAGUAUGCCUACAGUGCAGCAGUGAUAGUAACAGAAGAGCUUGGGCUCCUACAACCAAGGCAGCCCCAAAGAAAAUCGACUGGAAAACCAAAGUGGAAGGUCAGGCUGGAGUUGAAAAUCAAAAAGCUUAGAUCAGAUGCAAGUAACCUGAAAAAUAUGAAAGAGAAGAAACUGAAGAAUGACAAAAUCAAGCAAUACCUGAUCCGAAAGUACUGGCUGAACACCAGAAAAAUUGAAGAAGCUUUGGAGAUCGUGAAAGAACAAAUUACAGCAACAGCCAGAAAAAUUGAAAGGUAUGAAGCCAGAAUCAUCCAGUACAGACAAAAUCAACUGUUUCAAUCAGACCAAAGACGGUUCUACCAGAGUCUGAACCAAACAACAGACACAGUAACCAUAAAACCAGAGAAAACUGCAACAACGAAGUUCUGGAAAGAACUUUGGGAAAACAAUAAAAACUACAACAAAAACGCUGGGUGGAUAAAGGAGUUUGAAGGAAAAUUCUCACAGAACAAAAUGGAACUGAUGGAAAUAACAACUGAAAUGAUCAGCAAACGAGUGCAAAAAGUCAAGAACUGGACAUCGCCUGGUAGUGAUCAACUUCAUGGAUUUUGGCUCAAACAUCUGAUUAGUUUACAUGGAAAAAUGGCCCAACAAUCUGAGAUGCUGCAGAAAGGAAGUAUCAGUGAAUGGCUAACAACUGGAAGAACAUACCUGAUACAAAAGGAUCCAACAAAAGGAGCAGCACCAGGAAACUACAGGCCAAUAACAUGUCUGCCCACUAUGUUUAAACUACUGACUGGCAUCAUAGCUGACAGAAUUCAAGACUAUCUUGAAGAAAAAAACAUCUUGCCAGAUGAACAGAAAGGCAACAAACGGAAAAGCAGGGGCACAAAAGACCAGUUAUUGAUUGACAAAAUGAUUCUGGAGAACUGUAAGAGCCGAAAAGCUAAUCUUCACAUGACGUGGAUUGACUACAAAAAGGCCUUUGACUCACUCCCACACAGCUGGAUCAUCAAGUGCCUGGACGCCAUCGGGAUUUGUAAAAACGUUGGCACCUUCAUUGAAAACAUGAUGGAGCACUGGAAAACUGAACUGUUUGUUGGAAAUGAAAGCUAUGGACUUGUCAACAUCAGAAGAGCAGGGACACAAAAGACCAGUUAUUAAUUGACAAAAUGAUUCUGGAGAACCGCAAAAGCCGAAAAGCUAAUCUUCACAUGACGUGGAUUGACUACAAAAAGGCCUUUGACUUACUCCCACACAGCCGGAUCAUCAAAUGCCUGGACGCCAUUGGGAUUUGUAAAAACGUUGGCAUUUUAUUGAAAACAUGAUGGAGCACUGGAAAACUGAACUGUUUGUUGGUAAUGAAAGCUAUGGACUUGUCAACAUCAGAAAAACAAGAAAACUCAUGACCAUUCAUCAUUCACUGCACCCUCGCAGUGAUGUUGACCAGCUAUAUCUGCCUAGAAGAUCUGGUGGCAGAGGAUUCUUACAAGUAAAAUAAGCAUUCAAAGAAGAAGAACAUGCCCUGGCAGAAUAUGUAAAGCAAAGUGAAGAACCUGCUUUGAUUGAAGUAAAGAAUCAGAAACUCCUCAAAGCAUAACAGACAAGGAAUCAGUACAAAAAAACUGCACUACAAACUAGAGCUGACAGCUGGCACAAAAAAAAAACAUUGCAUGGAAAGUUCCUUGACAAAAUUGAAGGAAAAGCUGAUAAGGAGAAGACCUGGCUAUGGCUCAUGAAUGGGACCCUGAAGAAGGAGACAGAAGGUCUGAUCCUUGCAGCCCAGGAGCAAGCCAUCAGAACAAAUGCAAUUAAGGCCAAGAUCGAAAAAUCAGGUGAUGACCCAAAAUGCAGACUGUGCAAGGAAACAGACGAAACCAUUGAUCAUAUCCUCAGCUGCUGUAAGAAAAUUGCACAGACAGACUACAAACAGAGGCACAACUACCGUGUUCCCCCAAAAAUAAGACAGUGUCUUAUAUUAAUUUUUGCUCCCAAAGAUGCUCUAGGUCUUAUUUUCAGGGGAUGUCUCCCAUUAAGAAGAAUUCACAUUUAUUGUUGAACAAAAAAAAAAAAGAACAUUUAUUAUAUACUGUACAGUAGUUGUCAUCACAAACCAGCAUAACUAGACAAACUGUGACUCCUAUCAAGAAUUUCUUGUUACUACCAAAAUUUCCAUGUACAACAAUCUAUGGUAUGUACAUUUACCGAUCCUGCAUGCUCUGGUGUUCUGUUCGGCAGGCAUGCUCCCAAACAAAAACUUUGCUAGGUCUUACUUUCACGGGAGGCCUUAUAUUUAGCAAUUCAGCAAAACAUCUACUAGGUCUUAUUUUCUGAGGAUGUCUUAUUUUAGGGGAAACAGGGUAUGUGGCCCAAAUUAUUCAUUGGAACUUAUGCCUCAAUACCACCUCCCAGCAGUAAAGAACUAGUGGGACCUGCAAAGGUAAUGGAAAAUGAACACGCAAAGAUACUGUGGGACUUUCGAAUCCAGACUGACAAAGUUCUAAAACACAACACACCAGACAUCACAGUUGUGGAAAAGAAAAAGGGUUGGAUCAUUGAUGUUGCCAUCCCAGGUGACAGUCGGAUUGAUGAAAAACAAGAGGAAAAACUCAGCCACUAUCAGGACCUCAAGAUCGAACUGCAAAGACUCUGGCAGAAACCAGUACAGGUGGUCCUGGUGGUGGUUGGCACACUGGGUGCUGAGCCAAAAGAUCUCAGCCAGCAUUUGGAAACAAUAGACAUUGACAAAAUUACGAUCUGUCAACUGCAAAAGACCACCUUACUGGGAUCUGCGCGCAUCAUCC